This is a long non-coding RNA of Telopea speciosissima, 284 nucleotides long. RefSeq lists it as uncharacterized. Lineage: Eukaryota; Viridiplantae; Streptophyta; Magnoliopsida; Proteales; Proteaceae. The transcript has 3 exons. The record is from RefSeq and is a predicted model, not a curated record.
CAUCUACAACCAGCUUUCGAUCACCCUGAACUGAGAGGGCAAAAGCCACUGGAUCCACCGGAGAGACCCAAUGGCGACAAUCCGAUGGAUUCAGUGCCGGAAGGUUUUCAGGUUGGUCAAAUUCAGGCGAGUUAUGUCCAGAAGGAACAAUUCCGAUAAGAAGAACCAAAGAAGAAGGUAUACUAAGAGCUAGUUCUGUUGCAAGAUUUGGGAGACAAAUUAGUAGACCCGUUAGACGCGACACUACGAGCAGUAACCACGAGCAUGCAGUUGGGUAUGUAAUC